UACAGAGGGGGCAAGCGUUGUUCGGAAUUACUGGGCGUAAAGGGUGCGUAGGCGGUCGUGCAAGUCGGAUGUGAAAUCCCAGGGCUCAACCCUGAAACUGCAUUCGAUACUGCGCGGCUAGAGUGCUGGAGGGGAGACUGGAAUUUACGGUGUAGCAGUGAAAUGCGUAGAUAUCGUAAGGAAGACCAGUGGCGAAGGCGAGUCUCUGGACAGCAACUGACGCUGAGGCACGAAGGCCAGGGGAGCAAACGGG
This 253-nucleotide ribosomal RNA is filed under the name uncultured bacterium. RNAcentral describes it as "partial 16S ribosomal RNA". It matches the Rfam family "Bacterial small subunit ribosomal RNA", at positions 524 to 776 of the family's 1533-position model. The record is from RNAcentral.